AUUCGGUUUCUUCACAGUCUCCUCUCUGGAAGGGCUCUUGGCUUCCUCUCCAGACAGCAUGUGUGUGGUAAGGAAAAAGCCUGCAUGUGGAGGUCUGUGGGAGGAGGUGUGACUGCAGGAUCGGGGUAAAAGAUUUUCAUUAUGAGGGAGGGUGCGUCACCCACACUAGGAAUUCCCAGGAGGUGCAGUUUGAUUAAAUAUUUGUAUGGUCCAGGUUACCCUCAGCUACCCCGAUAGUGGGUGCUCCCCGAGGCAGUGUGUAUUUUGGGGAACAGUAAAAAAAAUCCACGCUGCUUAAUCAGAGAUAAAACAUUCAGAGACGGCAAUGAUUGGUGCAUACCUGCGUGGAGGGUCUACACUCUAAAAUAUUUGCCAGCAUAUUAUUCUCAACUUAUGAAGCAACACACCAAGGCAUUCUGGGUAGAGGGGGAGACCCAUAAAAAAGCUUGUGCCUUUAAUAAAAUGUGUACCGGCCGAGCGCGGUGGCUCACACCAGUAAUCCCAGCACUUUGGGAGGCCGAGACAGGAGGAUCUCUUGAGCCCAGAAGUUUGAGGCCAGCCUGGGCAACACGGUGAAACCCCAUCUCUACAAAAAAUACACAAAUUAGGUAGGUGUGGUGGUGCAUGCCUGUGGUCCCAGCUACUCAAGAGGCUGAGGCAGGAGGAUCACUUGAGCCGGGGAGGUCAAGGCUGCAGUGAGCUGAGGUCGCACCAUUGCACUCCAGCUGGGGUGACAGAGCAAGACACUCUGCCUCAAAAAACAAAAUAAGCAAAAAAACCACGUACUUUCAUAAAGCUGAGUUGUGUUUGCAAGGACACGUCUCCCCUAUAAGGAAGACUUGGGAGAGAAUUGAUGCUGAGAACACCAGAGCUAUCCUCAGACAGUGCACUCCUUGUUUUAAACUAAAUUCAGUAAAUAUUUUGGAGGAUUUUUGAUGUGUCAGAUACACUCACUCUUUGUCCAGGGCAACUGGGAACUGGACGAAGGGCAGGACCUGGGGUUCCUGAGUCUGCUCAGUUACUCAGGAGCAGCCCAGUACCACCCGGGCUCCAGAGAGCCUGUUCCCUCUGAGGGGACGUCGGGGGCCCUCCAGAGGAAGGCGACCUUAGAGGUGCACCUGCCAGAUAGCUCCCCAACACUGAGAUCUGACGUGCCCCCAGAUUCCCUGGGCUCAGAAAACAGGACACGCCGAGGACAUAGAAGCCUGGCACCAGGCGCAGAGCUUCCGCCACCAAGGAUGUUCCAGCAGAGACCACACAGCCGCGUGGCCUGGACUCGAAGCCAUCGAAGUUUUGAAUCUCUAAGUCCUUAUUUCUUGCCAGCCCAACUAUUAAUAAAUCAAAAGCUCCUUGGAGCGUUGGUUUUUAUUUUCUUCUCCCCUAGAACAGUG
Molecule: long non-coding RNA, 1391 nt
Filed under: Homo sapiens (human)
Lineage: Eukaryota; Metazoa; Chordata; Mammalia; Primates; Hominidae
Description: HSALNT0356050
Source: RNAcentral